GACGAACGCUGGCGGCGUGCUUAACACAUGCAAGUCGAACGGAAAGGCCCUGCUUUUGUGGGGUGCUCGAGUGGCGAACGGGUGAGUAACACGUGAGUAACCUGCCCUUUACUUUGGGAUAACUUCAGGAAACUGGGGCUAAUACCGGAUAGGAGCUCCAGCUGCAUGGUGGGGGUUGGAAAGUUUCGGCGGUUGGGGAUGGACUCGCGGCUUAUCAGCUUGUUGGUGGGGUAGUGGCUUACCAAGGCUUUGACGGGUAGCCGGCCUGAGAGGGUGACCGGCCACAUUGGGACUGAGAUACGGCCCAGACUCCUACGGGAGGCAGCAGUGGGGAAUAUUGCACAAUGGGCGGAAGCCUGAUGCAGCAACGCCGCGUGCGGGAUGACGGCCUUCGGGUUGUAAACCGCUUUCGCCUGUGACGAAGCGUGAGUGACGGUAAUGGGUAAAGAAGCACCGGCUAACUACGUG
This 468-nucleotide ribosomal RNA is filed under the name uncultured bacterium. RNAcentral describes it as "partial 16S ribosomal RNA". It matches the Rfam family "Bacterial small subunit ribosomal RNA", at positions 28 to 507 of the family's 1533-position model. The record is from RNAcentral.